Molecule: ribosomal RNA, 481 nt
Filed under: Gehyra marginata
Lineage: Eukaryota; Metazoa; Chordata; Lepidosauria; Squamata; Gekkonidae
Description: partial 16S ribosomal RNA
Rfam family: Bacterial large subunit ribosomal RNA
Source: RNAcentral
GCGGUAUCCUAACCGUGCAAAGGUAGCGUAAUCACUUGCCCCCUAAAUAGGGGCCCGUAUGAACGGCCAAAUAAGAACAUGCCUGUCUCCUAUGGCAAAUCAAUGAAACUGAACCCCCAGUACAAAAGCUGGGAUACACACACAAGACGAGAAGACCCCGCGGAGCUUAAAACAAUGAUGCUAUCUUAUAAGUCACACCCUAAACAAUAGCAGACGUUUUUGGUUGGGGCAACCACGGAGAAAAACAAAACCUCCAUGAAACAGGGACACUCCCACCCAAGGCCAACACGCCAACGCCAUAAAAUUGACCCAGUACCACACUGAUCACCGAACCAAGUUACCCCGGGGAUAACAGCGCUAUCCUCUCUAAGAGUCCAUAUCACCAAGAGGGUUUACGACCUCGAUGUUGGAUCAGGACACCCCUGUGGUGCAGCCGCUACUAACGGUGCGUUUGUUCAACGCUUAAAGUCCUACGUGAUCU